GACGAACGCUAGCGGCAUGCCUAAUACAUGCAAGUCGAACGCUGAAGCACUCUGCUUGCAGAGUGCGGAUGAGUGGCGAACGGGUGAGUAACACGUGGGAAAUCUGCCUAGGAGUGGGGGAUAACAUUCGGAAACGGAUGCUAAUACCGCAUAAGACCACAGCACCGCAUGGUGCAGGGGUAAAAACUCCGGUGGUAUGGGAUGGAUCCGCGUCUGAUUAGCUAGUUGGUAAGGUAACGGCUUACCAAGGCAACGAUCAGUAGCCGACCUGAGAGGGUGACCGGCCACAUUGGGACUGAGACACGGCCCAA
RNAcentral lists this ribosomal RNA (311 nucleotides) under uncultured bacterium. Its description in RNAcentral is "bacterial SSU rRNA". It matches the Rfam family "Bacterial small subunit ribosomal RNA", at positions 28 to 334 of the family's 1533-position model. The record is from RNAcentral.